AUGAUUCCAAAAGCUGAUUCUCCUUCCAUCUCCCACCCUGUAAGUGAUGUUGCCACUGAAUGCUUCCCAAUUCUUCAUGAUACUCCUCCACAUGCCACACCCGAAAAGUGUUGUGAUCGCCUUGGUCCUCCAACCCCCUCCCGUUGAGUCGUACUUUUCUACUAUGACCUCCCUCCAUAGAGCAUGCUCUUAUGCCCCGAAUCUCCACAACCACUUCCCCAUUAAAGCUCUGUUAAAAACCCUAAGAUCUUUCACUCCAAGUCCACCCCACUUCUUUGGGGAAGUGACUGUCUGUCAAUUCACUAGAUGAAACUUUCUAGUUUCAUCCGCCGCAUCCCACAGAAAGUUCCUUUGAAGUCGCUCCAGUUUUUCUGUGAUGCUCACCGGUGCUUGCAACAGUGAUAAGUAAUAGGUGGGCAUAUNNNNNNNNNNNNNNNNNNNNNNNNNUCCUGAAUGAGAGGUCCCAUACUACCCCCUUCAAGCUCCUUGCGAAUCUGUUGGACCAUCAGUUCUUUCUGAUUUGAAACUCUGAAGACGUGGGGGAAGGAGACCUUGAGAGUAUCCUCUCCACACCACCUAUGAUUCCAAAAGCUGAUUCUCCUUCCAUCUCCCACCCUGUAAGUGAUGUUGCCACUGAAUGCUUCCCAAUUCUUCAUGAUACUCCUCCACAUGCCACACUCGAAAGGUGUUGUGAUCGCCUUGGUCCUCCAACCCCCUCCCGUUGAGUCGUACUUUUCUACUAUGACCUCCCUCCAUAGAGCAUGCUCUUCUACCCCGAAUCUCCACAACCACUUCCCCAUUAAAGCUCUGUUAAAAACCCUAAGAUCUUUCACUCCAAGUCCACCCCACUUCUUUGGGGAAGUGACUGUAUGUCAAUUCACUAGAUGAAACUUUCUAGUUCCAUCCGCCGCAUCCCACAGAAAGUUCCUUUGAAGUCGCUCCAGUUUUUCUGUGAUGCUCACCGGUGCUUGCAACAGUGAUAAGUAAUAGAUGGGCAUACUCGAUAAAGUGCUUUUGAUAAGCACUUCCUUACCUCCUUUUGACAAAUACCGUUUCUGCCACCCUGCUAAUCUCUUUUCAACCCGU
Molecule: long non-coding RNA, 1086 nt
Filed under: Nicotiana tabacum (common tobacco)
Lineage: Eukaryota; Viridiplantae; Streptophyta; Magnoliopsida; Solanales; Solanaceae
Description: long non-coding RNA (NTAB_LNC002699)
Source: RNAcentral